Molecule: ribosomal RNA, 510 nt
Filed under: uncultured bacterium
Lineage: Bacteria
Description: partial 16S ribosomal RNA
Rfam family: Bacterial small subunit ribosomal RNA
Source: RNAcentral
GACGAACGCUGGCGGCGUGCCUAAUACAUGCAAGUAGAACGCUGAAGGAGGAGCUUACUUCUCUGGAUGAGUUGCGAACGGGUGGGUAACGGGUAGGUAGCCUGCCUGGUAGCGGGGGAUAACUAUGGGAAACGAUAGCUAAUAACGCAUAAGAGUAGAGAUUGCAUGACAUUUACUUAAAAGGUGCAAUUGCACCACUAGCAGAUGGACCUGCGUUGUAUUAGCUAGUUGGUGGGGUAACGGCUUACCAAGGCGACGAUACCUAGCCGACCGGAGAGGGUGAUCGGCACACUGGGACUGAGACACGGCCCAGACUCCUACGGGAGGCAGCAGUAGGGAAUCUUCGGCAAUGGACGGAAGUCUGACCGAGCAACGCCGCGUGGGUGAAGAAGGUUUUCGGAUCGUAAAGCUCUGUUGUAAGAGAAGAACGAGUGUGAGAGUGGAAAGUUCACACUGUGACGGUAUCUUACCAGAAAGGGACGGCUAACUACGUGCCAGCCGCCGCCGUAA